Rhodamnia argentea is the source of this 170-nucleotide long non-coding RNA. RefSeq lists it as uncharacterized. The record is from RefSeq and is a predicted model, not a curated record. Lineage: Eukaryota; Viridiplantae; Streptophyta; Magnoliopsida; Myrtales; Myrtaceae. The transcript has 3 exons.
GCCGUCUGAAGAUUGGCCUUCCUUGACAACUCGCCUUGCCCAAGCUAUCCAUUUCGCGGCAUUCUCGCGCAUGCCUCCCUCGUGCGUCGCCCCAAUAACCAUGUCCAAGCACCUCUUCACCUCUUCUCUCCUUACACCCCCUUCUCCGUCCACCCUUGCCUUCAGCCUAC